This 468-nucleotide ribosomal RNA is filed under the name uncultured bacterium. RNAcentral describes it as "partial 16S ribosomal RNA". It matches the Rfam family "Bacterial small subunit ribosomal RNA", at positions 28 to 507 of the family's 1533-position model. The record is from RNAcentral.
GACGAACGCUGGCGGCGUGCUUAACACAUGCAAGUCGAACGGAAAGGCCCUGCUAUUGUGGGGUGCUCGAGUGGCGAACGGGUGAGUAACACGUGAGUAACCUGCCCUUGACUUUGGGAUAACUUCAGGAAACUGGGGCUAAUACCGGAUAGGAGCUCCUGCUGCAUGGUGGGGGUUGGAAUGUUUCGGCGGUUGGGGAUGGACUCGCGGCUUAUCAGCUUGUUGGUGGGGUAGUGGCUUACCAAGGCUUUGACGGGUAGCCGGCCUGAGAGGGUGACCGGCCACAUUGGGACUGAGAUACGGCCCAGACUCCUACGGGAGGCAGCAGUGGGGAAUAUUGCACAAUGGGCGGAAGCCUGAUGCAGCAACGCCGCGUGCGGGAUGACGGCCUUCGGGUUGUAAACCGCUUUCGCCUGUGACGAAGCGUGAGUGACGGUAAUGGGUAAAGAAGCACCGGCUAACUACGUG